Molecule: long non-coding RNA, 1968 nt
Filed under: Homo sapiens (human)
Lineage: Eukaryota; Metazoa; Chordata; Mammalia; Primates; Hominidae
Description: non-protein coding lnc-SOX17-4:9
Source: RNAcentral
CUUUCUCCCCGACUCCCUGGCCAUGGGAUUCAGGAAAACAGGCAGUGAAAGGCUUCAACAGUUCCUUUCCAGUUUUCCACGGGGGCCCCAAGGAACGCCUGCGGCUGGAAUUCCCCGGGAGACAGGGAGCUGUAACAAUAGAGGUUCAUAUUCUAAAGAGAGCAGGCACUGAGCAAAUGUUUGUUGAACUGAACCAAUCUGCUAGUUAUGGGGACAUGACCUCCACUUCAUGGUGUUGAACUAAACAAACACAUACUUCUCCAGACAAAUAUUAAAACUGGUGAACUUCAAAAUAACGUGAAAAGCUCCUAUGUUUCCAUGCCUCAUUAUAUGCCACAAAAAAUCAAAUGAUAACGAGAACAAAGUAGGUUAUUUUGUUUGCUAUUUAACUUGUGUGCAGGUCUUCACAGAAUGAGAGGCAUACCAACACUCAUGACCCCAGGCUAGUUCUGUUCUUUGCCAGUGUGUGGUUUGGGAGUUCUGUGAAGUGUUUGCAGUCGCUACUAAUAAUCCAGGUGACACGGCAAACAUUGCAGUUCCUAGGUCCAGCACAAUUAGAGGAGGGUUCACUCGUAGGCAGCAUCUGAGCAACAGGCUCACCAGACUUCAGCCUCUUCACUCCGACUCUUCCACGCUCCAGCUCUCUUCAUUAAGAUAUUCUAGAAGCAACUGAGGAGUUUCUACAAACAUUUUGGAAAUUACAGCAGGUCAAGUGGAAGUUUGUUUUCAUUUCAGUUAAGGUACGAGUUGUUCUGACUGCUGUGCAGACAUUCACACGCCCGCUGCUAGAAAGCUGGAGCUGGAAGGAGCAUUGGGGCCCGCUGAGUCCUCCUUUCUCAUGUAUGGAUGCGGAUGUGGAGGCAGGCCCUAAGUCUUAGUGUAGGUGCCGAUGGUGCAGAUGGUGUUUCACACUGUCACCCAGGCUGGAGUGCAGUGGCAAUCUCAGCUCACUGCAACCUCUGCUUCCCGGGUUCAAGUGAUUCUCCUGCCUCAGCCUCCUGAGUAGCUGGGAUUACAGGCACAAGCCACCAUACCCAGCUAAUUUUUGUAUUUUUAGUAGAGAUGGUGUUUCAUCAAGUUGGUCAACCUGGUCUCGAACUCCUGACCUCAAGUGACCUGCCCACCUCAGCCUCCCGGAGUGCUGGGAUUACAGGCGUGAGCUGCCGCACCUGGCUGAAAACUUUAAAUCAGUGAAAGCUAUCUGAAUAGAUGGGAAACAACUGCCUAUUUUUGGUGUAAAAAGUGUCAAUCAUUUAUUUGUGAUUUAUAUGUAAGAGGGAAAAUGUUGCUGUCAUAUUUACUGAAAGAUAAAUGCUAAAAAAAGAAUAUGCCUUCUAUGUGGUUUUUCAUGUUUACUUGUGUACUUUUUUUGCUUAUGAAAUUUUGAGAAUAGUGUAUUAUUAGAUUCACACCCACUUCUUAAGUCGUGUGUUAUGAAGCAGUCACAUGUGUUGUGAAUUACUUAUGAAUAAUAAUGAUAGCUAACAUGAUUUCUUACUAGAUACUAUGCUACUUUAUCUCAUUUAAUCCUCAAGAUAAUAUUGUAAGAUAUAUACUGUGAUAUCCUCCUCAUAUUGUAGAUGAGGAAAUGGAUGCUUAGAUAGUUUAACUACCCCUCACGGAGCUGGAAAGCGUACAGGAGGGGCUCAAAUCCAGGUGUGACCAUUGUUCAACUGCAUUGUUAAACUGCACUUCACUGGCUUUUCACACGGUGCCUUGAUAAUUUCAGACUUGGAUAACUUCCAAUGAUGAGAAGCUUGGUAGACAUUUUCAGAGAGGAGGAGAUGAAAGCAUGACAAACAUUUUCUUUUUUUUUUAUUAUUAUAUUUUAAGUUUUAGGGUACAUGUGCACAAUGUGCAGGUUAGUUACAUAUGUAUACAUGUGCCAUGCUGGUGUGCUGCACCCAUUAACUCAUCAUUUAGCAUUAGGUAUAUCUCCUAAUGCUAUCCCUCCCUCCUCCCCCGACC